This 478-nucleotide ribosomal RNA is filed under the name uncultured bacterium. Its description in RNAcentral is "partial 16S ribosomal RNA". It matches the Rfam family "Bacterial small subunit ribosomal RNA", at positions 28 to 506 of the family's 1533-position model. The record is from RNAcentral.
GAUGAACGCUGGCGGCGUGCUUAACACAUGCAAGUCGAACGAAGCACUUAUCUUUGAUUCUUCGGAUGAAGAGGUUUGUGACUGAGUGGCGGACGGGUGAGUAACGCGUGGGUAACCUGCCUCAUACAGGGGGAUAACAGUUAGAAAUGACUGCUAAUACCGCAUAAGACCACGGAGCCGCAUGGCUCAGUGGGAAAAACUCCGGUGGUAUGAGAUGGACCCGCGUCUGAUUAGGUAGUUGGUGGGGUAACGGCCUACCAAGCCAACGAUCAGUAGCCGACCUGAGAGGGUGACCGGCCACAUUGGGACUGAGACACGGCCCAAACUCCUACGGGAGGCAGCAGUGGGGAAUAUUGCACAAUGGGGGAAACCCUGAUGCAGCGACGCCGCGUGAGCGAAGAAGUAUUUCGGUAUGUAAAGCUCUAUCAGCAGGGAAGAAAAUGACGGUACCUGACUAAGAAGCACCGGCUAAAUACGU